GACGAACGCUGGCGGCGUGCCUAACACAUGCAAGUUGAGCGACGAACCAGGGCUUGCCCUGGGGCAAAGCAGCGAACGGGUGAGUAACACGUGGGUAACGUGCCCCGAUAACCGGGACAACCCGAGGAAACUCGGGCUAAUACCGGAUGUGCCCACCGGACAUCAGUCCGGUGUGUAAAGGAAGCUUCGGCCUCCGUAUCGGGAGCGGCCCGCGGCCCAUUAGCUAGUUGGUGAGGUAACGGCUCACC
This 248-nucleotide ribosomal RNA is filed under the name uncultured bacterium. RNAcentral describes it as "partial 16S ribosomal RNA". It matches the Rfam family "Bacterial small subunit ribosomal RNA", at positions 28 to 269 of the family's 1533-position model. The record is from RNAcentral.